This 222-nucleotide ribosomal RNA is filed under the name uncultured bacterium. Its description in RNAcentral is "partial 16S ribosomal RNA". It matches the Rfam family "Bacterial small subunit ribosomal RNA", at positions 109 to 334 of the family's 1533-position model. The record is from RNAcentral.
AGUAAUGUAUGGGGAUCUGCCCGAUAGAGGGGGAUAACUACUGGAAACGGUGGCUAAUACCGCAUAAUGUCUACGGACCAAAGCAGGGGCUCUUCGGACCUUGCACUAUCGGAUGAACCCCUAUGGGAUUAGCUAGUAGGUGGGGUAAAGGCUCACCUAGGCGACGAUCUCUAGCUGGUCUGAGAGGAUGAUCAGCCACACUGGGACUGAGACACGGCCCAG